Molecule: non-coding RNA, 172 nt
Filed under: Paraphysomonas imperforata
Lineage: Eukaryota; Chrysophyceae; Chromulinales; Paraphysomonadaceae
Source: RNAcentral
ACUGCCUCCACACCCGAAGCUGAGCGUUGUUUUCUGCAAAUGCACGUCGCUACGUCGUGCGAAGAACAGAAUAAGUCAGUGUCGCUUGUGUUGUCGUCCUCCUUUGUGCAGAACUACUGGGAUAUGGCAGAUAGUGGGCAGAAGUCCUCCCUCUUGAGGUCCAUGGGGUUUC